RNAcentral lists this unclassified non-coding RNA (1438 nucleotides) under uncultured Neocallimastigales. RNAcentral describes it as "partial contains small subunit ribosomal RNA, internal transcribed spacer 1, 5.8S ribosomal RNA, internal transcribed spacer 2, and large subunit ribosomal RNA". The stretch from base 660 to 1438 matches the Rfam family "Eukaryotic large subunit ribosomal RNA", at positions 1 to 628 of the family's 3401-position model. Lineage: Eukaryota; Fungi; Neocallimastigomycota; Neocallimastigomycetes; Neocallimastigales. The record is from RNAcentral.
UUCCGUAGGUGAACCUGCGGAGGAUCAUUAAAAAAUUGGACUCCAUUGGUGAGUUCAUUAAUAAUCCCUACCCUUUGUGAAUUUGUUUGUUUGAAUAAUUUUUUUUCCAAAAAAAAUUAUUGAAUGUCUUUCCUUGUUUUGGUGGAGCUUGUAAAGUGAAACCAGGCAGGGGAAUGGCAAACAAUAAUUAUUUUUGAAAAAGACCUUUUUUUAAAAUUAAACUUUUUGUAUUCAUUUGUCUAAAAUUAAUUUUUAUAAUAUAAAAACAACUUUUGACCAAUGGAUCUCCUUGGUUCUCGCAACGAUGAAGAACGCAGCAAAAUGCGAUAAGUAGUGUGAAUUGCAGAAUACGUGAAUCAUCGAAUCUUCGAACGCAUAUUGCACUUUUUUAGUUUACUAAAAAAGUAUGUCUGUUUGAGUAUCAGUAAAAUAUUCUCAUAAAAACAUUGUUUUUUUAUGGUUAUGAGUGUUUUACAACGAUAACAAGUUGUUUCACUUUAAAUUCUUUGUUAUCAAAAAAAUCAUUAAAAGCUAAUUUAAAGAUUUUUUAAAAUUGGAUAAAAAUUUUCCCGUAAAAAGGAAUAACCUAAACAAUUUUAAAAAAUUAAAAUUGGUUUGAUUUUUUUUGAAACCCAAAGGAAAAAAAAACGAAAUUAACUUGAUCUCAAAUCAGAUAAGAGUACCCGCUGAACUUAAGCAUAUCAAUAAGCGGAGGAAAAGAAACUAACUAGGAUUCCCUCAGUAACGGCGAGUGAAGCGGGAAGAGCUCAAAUUUGAAAUCUUCAAGGUUUUACCUUGACGAAUUGUAGUUUAAAGAAGUGUUUUCUGUUGGAGUUUUGGUAAAAGUUCUUGGAAAAGGACAUCAUAGAGGGUGAGAAUCCCGUAUUUGACCAUUAUCUCCAGCUUUUGUGAUACACUUUCAAAGAGUCGGAUUGUUUGGGAAUGCAGUCCAAAAUGGGUGGUAAAUUUCAUCUAAAGCUAAAUACUGGCGAGAGACCGAUAGCGAACAAGUACCGUGAGGGAAAGAUGAAAAGAACUUUGAAAAAGAGAGUUAAACAGUACGUGAAAUUGUCAAAAGGGAAGCGUUUGACACCAGUGUUGUUUUCUCGAAAAUCAAUUAAAAAAGGCCGGAUUUUGUGUUGUAUUGACUUUAUCAGCUUUCUGCACUCUUUUCUUGUCUUUUUUAAUGCACUUUUCGCUUAACAAGUCAACAUCAAUUUCUUUUGUUGUAAAAGGGUCAUUGGAAGGUGGCUUUCUUUUCGGAGAAAGUGUUUAUAGCCUUUGGCCUCUGCAAUCGGAGAGAUUGAGGUCUGCAGCGUAGAUCCUUCGGGGUUAGAUACAUUUGUGCUAAGUUAUAGCCUUUCAUAGACAACUUGUUGACUAUGAUCAGUCAUGUAGCUUACUCGCUUAUGCUAUUUUACCUACGCUUAGGAUGUUG